UUGUUCCUCCACUUGAGCCAUAGUAGCUCUGCAUACAAAAAAACACCCAAAAACGAAAUUAAUUAUUAUAUGCAAGACAGUUGCCUAUCUAGGAUACAAUUAGAUCUUUUUUUUUUUUUUUCUUCUUGAGAAUUGGCCUGAACUAAUUAUAAUAAAACCAGCUGAUAGAGAGUAGGCGUCAGAACAAACCGUGGGACAUGUG
This 202-nucleotide unclassified non-coding RNA is filed under the name Hevea brasiliensis (rubber tree). Lineage: Eukaryota; Viridiplantae; Streptophyta; Magnoliopsida; Malpighiales; Euphorbiaceae. The record is from RNAcentral.